UACGUGGGUGUCAAUCGUUGUCGGGGAUUAGUGGGCGUAAAGCGCGCGCAGGCGGCCUCUUAAGUCUGAUGUGAAAGCCCCCGGCUCAACCGGGGAGGGCCAUUGGAAACUGGGAGGCUUGAGUAUAGGAGAGAAGAGUGGAAUUCCACGUGUAGCGGUGAAAUGCGUAGAGAUGUGGCGGAACACCAGUGGCGAAGGCGACUCUUUGGCCUAUAACUGACGCUGAGGCGCGAAAGCGUGGGGAGCAACCAGG
RNAcentral lists this unclassified non-coding RNA (253 nucleotides) under uncultured Caryophanales bacterium. Its description in RNAcentral is "uncultured Bacillales bacterium contains 16S-23S intergenic spacer region". It matches the Rfam family "Bacterial small subunit ribosomal RNA", at positions 524 to 776 of the family's 1533-position model. The record is from RNAcentral. Lineage: Bacteria; Bacillati; Bacillota; Bacilli; Caryophanales.